This 380-nucleotide unclassified non-coding RNA is filed under the name uncultured bacterium. RNAcentral describes it as "contains 16S-23S intergenic spacer region". The record is from RNAcentral.
UCCGGCUUACACCGGCAGUCUCCUGUGAGUGCCCGACAUUACUCGCUGGUAACACAGAGCGAGGGUUGCGCUCGUUGGCGGACUUAACCGUACACCUCACGGCACGAGCUGACGACAGCCAUGCAACAUCUGUUUUCAGGUCUCCUUGUGGGAGAGGGCCAUAUCUCUAUGGCUUUCCUUCAAUGUCAAGAGUGGGUAAGGUUCUUCGGUUAGUAUCGAAUUAAUCCACAUGCUCCACCGCUUGUGCGGGUCCCCGUCAAUUCCUUUGAGUUUUACCGUUGCCGGCGUACUCCCCAGGCGGAGAACUUAACGCGUUAGCUGCGACACCAGGAGGCAAACCCUCCCGACAUCUAGUUCUCAUCGUUUACGGCGUGGACUAC